UGGCAAUUCCUCAAUUUUCGGUCUCCAACUAUUUGCCUUUGAUUCUUCCUGAAAAUAAACCAUUUGCAAAUCUUCAAAUUCAUCAAUCUUAAUUUCACUGGAAGUGGUUUGAAAUUGGUCAUGAACUAAUUUUUCAGUAAAGUCCACUUCCUGUAAAUCAUUAUCAUCUCCAGGUUGCUUGCAAAUGUUGAAAAUAUUCAUUUCCAAUGUCAU
This 213-nucleotide long non-coding RNA is filed under the name Populus trichocarpa (black cottonwood). Its description in RNAcentral is "long non-coding RNA (PTRI_LNC004656)". The record is from RNAcentral. Lineage: Eukaryota; Viridiplantae; Streptophyta; Magnoliopsida; Malpighiales; Salicaceae.